CCGAGUGAGGGCGCGAGCCCGACCUCCAACCCCAUGUCUUCCGAACCAUGUUGCCUCGGGGGCGACCCGGCCAUCGCGCCGGGGCCCCCGGUGGACCCCUCAACUCUGCAUCUCUGCGUCUGAGUCACAGAAUAAAUCAAUCA
RNAcentral lists this unclassified non-coding RNA (143 nucleotides) under uncultured Teratosphaeria. Its description in RNAcentral is "sequence contains ITS1". Lineage: Eukaryota; Fungi; Ascomycota; Dothideomycetes; Mycosphaerellales; Teratosphaeriaceae. The record is from RNAcentral.